Molecule: long non-coding RNA, 256 nt
Organism: Eufriesea mexicana
Lineage: Eukaryota; Metazoa; Arthropoda; Insecta; Hymenoptera; Apidae
Exons: 3
Source: RefSeq, a predicted model, not a curated record
UUCGAUUAACUUUAGAGUAUUAAAUAACAGCUAGAAAAUCCAAUCGAAAAGUUUAUUAUGGAGGAAAGGAAUCAUACGUAGAUAUCAUUGACGACAGAUUCUCUACGUACCGGUAAAUAUCAGGAUAAACGAGGCAUUUCUGAAACCAAUUUUUCAUGUGGAACAUGAUAUAAAGGAGUUUGAAUCUGGAUUCCAUUGGAUACGAUAAUCCAAUCCGAAGAAUUUGAUGUUUCAACUAUUAUAAAAGGAAGGAUCA